AGAGUUUGAUCCUGGCUCAGGAUGAACGCUAGCGGCAGGCCUAAUACAUGCAAGUCGAACGGUGAUAGCAAUAUCAUAGUGGCGCACGGGUGCGUAACACGUAUGCAACCUACCUUAUACUGAGGGAUAGCCUUUCGAAAGGGAGAUUAAUACCUCAUAACACAUUGAACUGGCAUCAGUUUAUUGUUAAAGAUUUAUUGGUAUAAGAUGGGCAUGCGUCCAAUUAGUUAGUUGGCGAGGUAACGGCUCACCAAGACGAUGAUUGGUAGGGGAACUGAGAGGUUAAUCCCCCACACUGGCACUGAGAUACGGGCCAGACUCCUACGGGAGGCAGCAGUAGGGAAUAUUGGGCAAUGGAGGCAACUCUGACCCAGCCAUGCCGCGUGCAGGAAGAAGGCGUUAUGCGUUGUAAACUGCUUUUAUAUAGGAAGAAAUAGACCUUGCGAGGUAAGUUGACGGUACUAUAUGAAUAAGCACCGGCUAACUCCGUGCCAGCAGCCGCGGUAAUACGGAGGGUGCAAGCGUUGUCCGGAUUUAUUGGGUUUAAAGGGUGCGUAGGCGGUUUAUUAAGUCAGUGGUGAAAGACGGUCGNCUCACGAUUGCAGUGCCAUUGAUACUGGUAG
Molecule: ribosomal RNA, 623 nt
Filed under: uncultured bacterium
Lineage: Bacteria
Description: bacterial SSU rRNA
Rfam family: Bacterial small subunit ribosomal RNA
Source: RNAcentral